Molecule: non-coding RNA, 184 nt
Filed under: Desulfovermiculus sp.
Lineage: Bacteria; Pseudomonadati; Thermodesulfobacteriota; Desulfovibrionia; Desulfovibrionales; Desulfohalobiaceae
Description: 6S RNA
Rfam family: 6S / SsrS RNA
About the family: E. coli 6S RNA was the first non coding RNA to be sequenced, but its function was unknown until recently. It consists of 184 nucleotides that fold into an extended hairpin structure with a large single-stranded internal bulge. The 6S RNA specifically associates with RNA polymerase holoenzyme containing the sigma70 specificity factor.
Source: RNAcentral
CAUGCCCUGGGGUUUUGGUGUUUGCAGGUACCAUUUUUGAGCCAACAUACUCAAAAACGGGAGCAACUUAGUGUAUCCUGUUGAGCAAGCCCGAGAUUUGUCGGGAAGCCUGAUGGAUGCCAAGAUGCACCCACCUGGUACGCCAGGUUCAAAAUGGCCUGCAACACGGACCCCCGGGGUUUGC